CACUCUGGAGAGCAGGCAGCGGCGCCCGUCGCGGCCUCACCGAUGGGGUAAGCCGGACAGAGCUCCCGGCGAUUCUCUCAGGUCCCAGACAGAGGG
RNAcentral lists this non-coding RNA (96 nucleotides) under Inquilinus limosus. RNAcentral describes it as "Glycine sequence". It matches the Rfam family "Glycine riboswitch aptamer", at positions 7 to 88 of the family's 94-position model. Rfam says of the family: This family represents the bacterial glycine riboswitch. Glycine riboswitches usually consist of two metabolite-binding aptamers domains with similar structures in tandem. The aptamers cooperatively bind glycine to regulate the expression of downstream genes. Lineage: Bacteria; Pseudomonadati; Pseudomonadota; Alphaproteobacteria; Rhodospirillales; Rhodospirillaceae. The record is from RNAcentral.